This 587-nucleotide ribosomal RNA is filed under the name uncultured fungus. RNAcentral's name for it is "eukaryotic LSU rRNA". It matches the Rfam family "Eukaryotic large subunit ribosomal RNA", at positions 86 to 634 of the family's 3401-position model. The record is from RNAcentral. Lineage: Eukaryota; Fungi.
AUGGCGAACGAAGAGGGAACAGCCCAUCCUUAAAUCGUGCUAGUUUAGGCUGGUAUGAGAUGUGGGGUGGAGGUGGUACUCCUGGGUGUGGCAUGGACAAAAUUGUGUUUAGACAGCACGUUCCUUUGGGAUGCAAUACAAGGUGAUAGCCCUGUUUAUCGUCCAUGCGUCGUAUGACUCCACAUUCAACUGCGAGAAUUACCUAAGAGUAGGAUUGUUUAAAAGUACAAUCUGAAUACGGGAGAUAAACUUCUUCCAAGGCUAAAUACUAAUACAAGAGACCAAUAGCGAACAAGUACUGUAAAGGAAAGUUGAAAAGUACACUGUUAAGUGGGUGAAAAAGCGUCUGAAAUUAUGAAGAAUUAAGCGUGAUCAGCGCGUUAUAGGAGACUGGGGGCUCAAUAUGGUCUUUGAAUCAUACUACUUCCCCAGUUCGAUCAGCGUCGUUCUACUUUGUAGAACGAUCAACCGAUGAACAACCAACUUAAGAACAUGUUGUUAUAUUUCCUGGCAACACCCUGGUUUCAUUCCUGUGGAGCUCUGCUUCAUAGGGUGUGCUAGGGUUAGUUGGGUUAUAGUGGCAUGUU